Non-coding RNA from Podarcis lilfordi (Lilford's wall lizard), 130 nucleotides. The record is from the annotation of a GenBank genome assembly. Lineage: Eukaryota; Metazoa; Chordata; Lepidosauria; Squamata; Lacertidae.
UAUGGAACUAUAGUGGAAUAUUGCACAAGUUUAGAGCUUGUUUCUGUGUUAUUUGCUUCCAGAAAAAUCAAUUUGCAAAUAAUAUGGAAAUGAGCACUAAACUUGUGCUGUAUUCCACCAGAGUUCCAGA